Molecule: non-coding RNA, 492 nt
Organism: Podarcis lilfordi (Lilford's wall lizard)
Lineage: Eukaryota; Metazoa; Chordata; Lepidosauria; Squamata; Lacertidae
Source: the annotation of a GenBank genome assembly
ACUGUCUGCAUUUCCCAGCUAACUAGGUGCGUUUUAUCAUGUUUGGGCCAUCAUCCGUUGUCCUCCUGGCGACAUGGUACACAGGUGAGAAGAGUAGGAAGGGCUACCUUUCAGACAGUACCUUAAACACAGAAUGGUCUCAGAGAAACUAACAGUCUUCUUCUUUCCCCAGUCUCCAGUGCCCAGAUUGUGGUGACUCAGGAGCCUUCUGUGUCAGCCUCUCCUGGACAGACGGUUAAACUCUCCUGUUCCAUGAGCAGUGCAACUGUGAGAAGCUAUGGCCAGUCUUGGUACCAGCAAAAGGCUGGCAGGCCUCCCUGGUUCCUGUAUUAUUACUAUAGCAGUGCAGCUGCCGGCUCUGGGGACCUCAGUCGGUUCUCCGCUUCCAAGGAGGCUUCCCAAAAUACCUGGUAUUUAACCAUCAGCAACAUCCAGGCAGCAGAUGAGGCUGAUUAUCACUGUGCUGUGUGGUAUCAGCCAGGUAGCAAGUUC